Long non-coding RNA from Aedes aegypti (yellow fever mosquito), 2449 nucleotides. RefSeq lists it as uncharacterized. The record is from RefSeq and is a predicted model, not a curated record. The transcript has 2 exons. NCBI's taxonomy places the organism in Eukaryota, Metazoa, Arthropoda, Insecta, Diptera, Culicidae.
UAUUUUAAAUUCGACACAAAUUUACGUCAUUCGGCUCGCUUCUUUUAUGUGCAUCCUAAAAGACGUAAAUCACAUGAAUUUUUCGUAGUGUGAAGAUUAUCUCCUAAAAUUCCGGCUAACACGAAAUGUACUUUGAUGGUUUCAUUUGAAAUUGUCAAUAAUAAGCCAUUUUCUUCUAAAUCGAUAAAAAUAUCGAUUAGAUCAUUGAGCGCCUUUGAGGGCCCAUGGUGUGACAUAUCACUGGCUUUGACGAAUCCCGCGACAAACAUAUUGUCUAAUUUUCCGAGAUACUGAGGUGGGAUGGUUGGAAACUAAUAAUAAAUGCCCCAUACUUUAUGUGUUCCAGAGUGUGCUCCAAUUGCGUCAUUCAUUUCCGCUUCAUCACUGAAUAAGAAAAAAGGUAUGACAAACUAUUUUCAAACUGCAUUUUGGUGGCUUUCCACAUAUUUCCAUUGAUAACAUUUGCAAUUACAUUAUUCGCUUCUAAUUUUUCCAUGUGCUCUACUGUUUCUUUAAAUACUGUCCCUGAUUCGAAAUACUGUUGGAACUGAUUUUUGAGUGGCAUCAGACAUCCUUUAGAAAUACUUCACCUGAAUCAUCCUCGAACUCAAUCGUAUGCGUCGCGUUAUCUAAGCCUAUUUUCUUCAUUUGCGUUUUUAAUUUUUGUUCUGUUGAAAUAAACUGCCACGGAUCACAAAUAUCAUCAAUCAGACAACUAUAUUUCGUACUCUCAGGAAAAUGAACGAUUUGCUUGAUAGCUUCACAAAUUGGUUUAAUUAUAAGGUUUGUUAUGUUUUGUUGCAAUUCAAAUACAUCUUUCCUCGUAAAGUGUUUCUUACUACACAGGUGCAUCGAAAAUUUCAUAAAUGAUUGUUUUAAACUGUUGCUUAAAUCUAAUAUUUCUUCUUCAUUGUCCAUUACAUUGUUUUGCGAUUUCUCUAUAUUAUCAUCAUUACAUCGAUUCAAAUCUUCUAUUAGUUGAGCAGUUUCUUCGGAGUUUUGAUGGUGCAUUCCCGACGGACAGCUACUUGGUGCCAUUGAUGGAGCUUCAUUGACUUCUUCGAUUGCUUUUCCCGUUUCAUGUGCUGCAUAAAACUCAUUAUGUAAAAUUUUUACAUGCCUUUUGAAACAGUUCACAUCAGGAAAUGUUGUAGACGGUUGACAAGCCGUGCACUUGUAAAAAAAGAUGGACGGUGUGCUAUGAAAUAUUGUAAGAUGAUCCAUGAGGUUUUGGAAUGUUGUCAUAAGCUCCAUACAUAGAAAGCACUUCAUUUUUCGCAUGAAUUUAGGAAUGCAAUCAACUGUAAUAUUUGAGUGUUCUUCGAUUUCUGCGUGUACUCAAUAUCGUAAAAAUAUUUGCUGAUAAACACCCAGAACAGUUCACUGCUUUCUGGGAACUGCAGAUCUAAUGUAAACUUAAGCUUCACGACUACAUCCAGGCAACGUACUAGCGAUGGUAGUCUAUACCGCAGUUUAUUCGUUGCUACAUAGAAGUAUUCGAAAUUUUCGAUUGCGCCGACUGCGUAUAUUCUUGGCGAGAAUUGUGUGCCGUUCGACUCUAAUUCUUGUCGUUGAGAAUUCAGUGCAUCCGUAAAUUCCGCUUCAGUUUCACAAACAUGGCAUGUAUCAAUUUGCGCUUGAAGGAUCGUAGGCAGCUUUUUAGCGGACGUUCUCACUGGCUUGAGUAAACCAAGGUACCUUUAGGUACAGGUACAGCAAUCUAAGCAGUCAGUGGAUGCGGGGAGUGGUAAACAGCGAGGGGAGGAAAAUGACAGCUGGUGAGUCGGCGAGCUGGCGAGUUUGUUAAUACAAUUUUCCCCUCCAUCGAUUGCUAUCGUCUCCAUAGUGCCGUAAUGUUUAUUAUUACGUGUUGAAAAUUCAAAAGGAACAUUUUCUGCAGGUACCAACGACAGUUUCAGAGUACAGGAUGCUGUGAUUCCACCACGCGAGAAAUUAAUUGGAAAUAAAACAAAUUCCUAAUAUGAGGAUGACACAGACGAUUGCGUAGCCCAGCUCAUGAUUCGUUCGGCUCGAAAAGGACAAUUUCAAUUACGGAGGAUAUUAUGUACCUACUACAGAAAACCAAAUAAUUUCAUAUGCUUCUUCACAACGUGCGUUUUGAAGAUGGGAAUUGGAGCAAAACAAGCAUUUGUUUUUAUGGAGAGUUGUGCUAUUCCCGUGUAGUUCCAGUGAUAUAGUGACACAAUUCAUAAUGUGUCGAAAGUAUAUGAAUAAAAAUUUUAUGCUAGAAAAGAAACUUAAAGUUACCAGAAUUGUUUGAAUGAGCACACCUUCAUUAUAUUUUUAUUCAAAAACCAGAGGUUGAGGAAAAAUCCUUAUUCUCUUUAUGUCGACGAUAGACAGCUGUAAAAAUGACGAAUGUGAUUCCUGUGACUUUUUCCAACCUAAUUCUCAUGUUGUCAUCAUAAUGAAUAAUUGCUUUUGAUUU